RNA transcript from Helianthus annuus (common sunflower), 2266 nucleotides. It is a transcript of the gene named telomere repeat-binding protein 3-like, with no coding region annotated. NCBI's taxonomy places the organism in Eukaryota, Viridiplantae, Streptophyta, Magnoliopsida, Asterales, Asteraceae. The transcript is spliced from 12 exons. The record is from RefSeq and is a predicted model, not a curated record.
CCUCAUUCUUAUCCGCCUCCGUUUCUCUCUUCUCCUCUUGGCGAUUCAGAAACACCAAGCUAUCUUCACCAGAUCUAUUUGAGAUUUUGCUUUUUUUCGGCUGCUAUUGAUGGUGGUUGUCUGGUUAAGUUGGCAUUCUGACCACUCGACAACCGUAAGAUCGACGGAGAAGAGGUGCAACUGACACUUUUAGAUCUACGGCCCCCAAACCCUAAUGCGUUCAAACAUUCAGAUCUGGUAUAAGAUCGACGUAGAAGAGAUGCCACAGACACUUUUAGAUCUACGGCCCCCAAACCCUAAUGCGUAUAAGGUAAGAUUUUUUGUUGAUUGUGGUUAUUUCCUUUGAAAAUUUGAUGAUUUAACAUGCAACUGAGCUUUUAGAUCUGCUGCUCACAAACCCUAACACGGUCAAACUUUUAGAUCUGGUAUAAGGUGUUGGAGGGUAACCAACCGGUUUUGAUGUUCUACCUAGCCACUGUGGAUUUCACAUCUUGUAGAGUGAUGAGUUUGUUGCAAAACAUGACUUAAUGAAGAUGAAUCAUGUGGUUUGUUCGAAGCCUAGGCAAGUCAACCUCUUCAGUUCCACCUUGAACGGGCCUGCUAUGAAUUGAAGAUGACAAAUGUGCUAUCAGCCAGCUGGACUUAUAUGAAUAUAAUUCAGGCCCAGACUGAGCUUGAAUUUAUGCACAAUAUUUCUGAGGAGGUCUGCUCUCAGUUACAUUCUUGAAAGUGCUCCGUUCAAUGAUAGCCAAAAAUGGUGUAAGAAAAUCACUACUUGUAGCACCAAUGCCAACUGCUUCAACAAGUCAAUUUCUUGGAAAUAACGAGUGUUUUGAGCCCUACACUUCCAAUAUCUACAGCCGUCGGGUUUUAAGUGGUGAGUUUGUUGUGGUGAACAAGCAUUUGCUGCAUGAUUGAUAAUCUCACUAAGGUAAUGGAGAUCUCUGAUUGAUAAUCUCACUAAGAGUAUAUCCCGCUAAUUGGAUCGGAUGAUGCAAGAUACACUUUGUUGGGAGUGCCCAACUUUGAAUAAUGAAGCGACUUCUUUUUUAAUCGAGCCGAGCUUAUAAAAAGUGAAUUUGGAUCGAGUCGGUGAGAUAUCGAAGGAGAUUAUGUCGGUUCGAAAGACGAUCGAGCGGGUGAAGCUUGUGACGAUGGAAGCUCAGAUGGUUGAAAAUUCUUUAGGCAUACAUGGAGAUGAGAUAUUGUAUGUUGGCGAUUGUAUAUACCCAGAUGUGAAUCAAACUGUUACCAAGGGUGAAUAGCAGCUCAUCGAAGGUGAAUGGCAAAUGACUUGGAGUUCACAGGUAUUUGCCAUCUCAGACGGUAGCUAAUGAAGUAGCAUUCCAGCAGCAUGCGGAUUCGCCAAUGACGAUUUCUAGGAAUAUAACUGAAAGUGAUCAUGAGAUGUCAGUGGAUGAUAGAAGUGGUUUGGAUUCAAAGGAGUUAUUAACGGUUCCGGAUAGUAACGCGGGUGAGCUGGCGGUGGUCCCCAUGAGGAAGCCAAAGGGAGCUGAGGUGGCACAACGCAGGAUUCGUCGUCCGUUUUCUGUUUCCGAAGUGGAAGCUUUAGUCAAAGGUGUUGAGAAGCUUGGAACAGGAAGUCUGGUGGACAGUCGAACCUGGUUUCUUAGGAAGAAGAGACGGACUUUCAUCGAACGCAGCAUGGAUCGACUUCGCUUGCCUUCCAUUUCGUGGGAAUCAUCUUUGGCAUACUUUGAAUCUAAAGGUUUAGAUGUGCAAGACAUGGUUACACUCCUAGGAGCACAUAUGAUGGGAAGAGUUCGAUGCAUUAACAUUCAUGAUCGCCUAUACAACUUCAACAACACUGGAAAACCGACCCCACAAUGGAAGAAUCUACAUUGAGUUACUUAAGGAACGGAUGCCCUCCAAAGACGAGGCUGGGUCAACCUAACCCGCUCAUAAACUUAAACCCGAGCAACCUGGACCAGUUCUUUACCAACUCCUACUACUCGCAAGUGUUGACCAAUAAAGUUGUUUUAGGCGUCGACCAACAGCUUCGCUAUGGGGGUGACACGUAUGUUAAGCGAUGAAUAUGCUUCGCCGAUUCCAGAUUUUAAGCUGCAGUUUGCUUUUUCAAUGGCUGGGAUGGGUGGGCUUAAGGUUAUAACUGGAACUGAUGGUCAGAUCCGACUCAACUGUCGAAUGGUUAACAAGUAGAUUGAUUGUGGUUAUUUUGUUAUUAAUAAAUAGUUGGAUUGUGUUUCAUUAAUGAAAAUCAAAAUCUAAUUCUCUGCUGCUGAUA